ACCAUCAUCGUCUAGUGGUUUAGGAUACCAGAUUUUCAUUCUGGGGGCCGGAGUUCGAACCUCCGUGAUGGUG
Xylariales sp. No.14919 is the source of this 73-nucleotide non-coding RNA. The record is from the annotation of a GenBank genome assembly. Lineage: Eukaryota; Fungi; Ascomycota; Sordariomycetes; Xylariales.